CAACUGUGACAUAAUUCUCAGUUAUGUAUUAAUAAUCAAGAAAGUACAAAAGGUCCCUCCCUUAAUCACCCAUUUAACAAAACUUGUAUUCUCUUUUCUUUUAUCGUUAUUUGUUCCAAGAGAAUCGAAUCGACUCUAGAAAAAAUGGUUCAGAUUCUGAUUCCUUGUCAUUGUUAUUAUCCGAUUCUCAGUCUUUUGCUGAUUUGUUUCUCUUCCACUUGGCGCUGUUUUUCGCUUGGUGAGCUAAAUACGAAUAACACUUUCUCUGUAUCUAAUUUUAGAUACCCUGAAACGUGGCUCCGACCAUUUGAUUCGCGUUAUAUCAGAGUUGAUUUGCCACCAUGGUUCUCCUCAUUAUCUAUACGGUUGGAAUCAAACGUAAACCUUGAUUUCAAUAAAAUAUUCAAGGUUCCUAUCAGCGCUCUGCCUUUGAUUUGCCUGAGAGAUGGCAGUCUCCCUCUGCCAGAUGUUUCAGAGAUUACUCUAAAAGGUUUAUGUUCCCCCUCUAAUGGAUCUUCCAAGGUGUUUGAAGAUCUUGAGAAUGUGGAGCAAUGUUUUCCAAUGCAGGAAAAUAUAUCAGUGAAGUUGACAAAUGAGCAGAUAUCUCCAGGAGUUUGGUAUCUUGGCCUUUUCAAUGGCAUUGGAGAUACAAGGACACAAUCAAAGAUGAUUGUUCGAGGCCCGACAUACGCUUUCAUUGCCAACAUUAGUGUAGAAGGAUGUACAACCUCAACAAUAUGGGGCCAAUUCUGCAACCAGACAGUCAACCCUCUAUCGUGUGUUCAAUCUGACAGUUAUAAUCUGAAUGGAAACUUUUCUGAUAGUAAGGUGAACAACAGGACAACUGAAAAUGUGGUUUCUUGCAGAAACUCUUUUGACUCUCCUUGCCAUGGAAUUGGUGAAACUAAUGUAUACUCCUUGGAUGUGGUGGGAAUCACAGAACAAUUGACCAUUAUGGCUUUGAAUGUCAGUUUCAAUAUGACACCUUCAAUUAACACGGUAAAUGUUAGUGGAACUAACAUAAUGUGUUUUGCUCGUCAUGGUGCACUACCUUCAUCAACCUUAUAUGAUUUUUCGGGUGAUAUACAAACAGACCCACUCACUAUUCCCUCACCUAAGGUUGGUCGCUGGUAUAUUACUGUUAUACCUGCUAACCUUUCUAAGGAACUUGGAGAGAUUCAUAAUACUAAUGCACAAGUUUGCUAUUCUUUGGAAUGGCAAGUACUUGAAUGUCCCUUGGGGAAGGCAGGAUCAAAUUGUAUGUGGGAAAGUUAUAAUCUUCAGACAGGAAUCAGGAGAGAUUCAUUCCUAUUUGAAUCCAGUUAUGUACCGGUCAGUGGAAAAGUGCCUGCAGAUUCUGCUGAUUUUCCUCUUGAACCUCUAUUAAGCAAUUCAUCUUAUGGUGGAGAAUCAGAUGAUAUUUGGACUUAUUUUCUCAUGGAUGUUCCUGUUGGCGCAGCUGGAGGAAAUAUCCACAUCCAACUGACAUCAGAUACAAAGAUGAAAUAUGAAAUAUAUGCUAAAUUUGGAGGAUUACCAUCUCUUCAGAGCUGGGAUUAUUACUAUGCAAACAGAACAAAUAGCAGUAUCGGCUGCAUGUUCUUCAAGUUGUAUAAUUCAAGUGAAGAAAAGGUUGAUUUUUAUAUCUUAUAUGCUAGAGAAGGAACUUGGGGCUUUGGAAUAAGACAUGUCAAUACCUCUAGUAGUAAGACUACCAUGUCUAUUUCCUUUGAAAGGUGCCCAAGAAGAUGCUCAUCUCAUGGGCAAUGCACAUAUGAUUUUGAUGCUAGUGGAUUAACGUCAUACAGCUACUGCUCCUGUGAUCGUGACUAUGGUGGCUUUGACUGCAGUGUUGAAAUUGUGUCUCAUCAAGGGCACAUAUGGCAAUCAAUUGCUCUCAUUGCAUCAAAUGCUGCAGCUCUACUUCCUGCCUAUUGUUCUCUCCGACGGAAGGCAUUUGCAGAAUGGGUACUCUUCACAUCUAGUGGUAUUUCAAGUGCAUUAUAUCAUGCAUGUGACGUUGGCACCUGGUGUGCAUUGUCCUACAAUGUCUUACAGUUCAUGGACUUCUGGCUCUCUUUCAUGGCUGUGGUGAGCACUUUUGUGUAUCUAACUACUGUAGAUGAAGCUUUUAAAAGGACAAUUCACACGGCAGUAGCUAUCCUUACAGCCCUUCUUGCUUUAACAAAGGCAACAAGUCUGCAGGUCUUCCAAUAUUAUUCUUGUGAUAGCAAUUGGGACAUUUGGUCUUCUUGUUGGAUGGGUGGUGGAACUCUCUACGAAGUUUAGGUUGUUUUCCUUUUCAAUUGGAUCUUGUAGGAACGUGCUGGACAGGCAACAAACUGUUACACAAUGGGUUUGUAAUUUAAUCAAGACAUUGUUACUACAGUUUCGAUGGCCAGUUGUCCUAGCAGGUUUCACAGCACUAGCAAUGGCAGCAAUAAGUUGGAAGUUAGAGAGCAGUGAAAAUUACUGGAUUUGGCACAGCAUUUGGCAUGUCACCAUGUACACAUCAUCCUUCUUCUUCCUUUGUUCAAAAAAAAUUGAUAACGUAAAUAGUGAGGUACAAAGGCCAGGAGGAGAAACAAGCUAUCAGUUAACUCGCCAGAAUUCAAUCCCAAGUAGUGAUAGGAGGGAAGGAAGAGGCUGAAAGUUUUGCAGAUUUAGCUCGAAAGAAACGGUAAUUUCUUUAGGCAUGCAGGGAUUAAAAAAAAAAAAAACCGUUUAGCUGCCUAUACCAUAUGACCUUUCAACCGUUUGAUCUGAAGAAGAUAAUUGUAGUAUCAUAAGUACAUUUGUAAAUUCCUCAGACAGAAGCAGUUUGUUGUGGGUUCAUCGUGAUGUCAGUUUGAGGGGGAUGGUAGUCAUUUAAGUUAAAUAUUUAUUCAGAUAUAGGUAGGGGAAAGAGAGUAAGGCGAGGCCAAGUAUAGACAGAAAGUUUUUCAUAUAAGCCGAAGGGGCAGAGCAGGACAUAAUGGCCGGCAAAGAUAUGUUCAAUUGAAAUUUGUAAAGGGUGUUUUUGUAUUCAUCCAGAAACAGUUGAGAUUUGACUGCUUAGAUUCUUGAA
This is an RNA transcript of Mangifera indica (mango), 3067 nucleotides long. RefSeq lists it as uncharacterized. The record is from RefSeq and is a predicted model, not a curated record. Lineage: Eukaryota; Viridiplantae; Streptophyta; Magnoliopsida; Sapindales; Anacardiaceae. The transcript has 14 exons.